RNAcentral lists this transfer RNA (67 nucleotides) under Mesophleps albilinella. RNAcentral describes it as "tRNA-Ile". Lineage: Eukaryota; Metazoa; Arthropoda; Insecta; Lepidoptera; Gelechiidae. The record is from RNAcentral.
AAUAAGAUGCCUGAUUAAAGGAUUAUUCUGAUAGGAUAAAUUAUGUAAAUUAUUUUUACUCUUAUUA